UCACAUACUUGUAAGUAUCGCAUGUUAGUUUCAAGAAUACUUCAGUGUGAAGGAAAAUUUCUACGAUGGCGCUUAAUCAAUUAUUGUCUUGAAUAAUAUAAACAAAUUUAGCCACAUCUGUCCAAGAAGAAUCCUUAUCGUAAAUACAUUUUACGUCAUUUAGGAUUUUGUACUUAUAACGAUGGCAUUAGUUCAAUACAAAAAUAUAGCGCAGUCGUGUGUUAAAUGAAAAUUUGAGUGUUUGAAAUUAAAUAAAGUAAUCAACUGAA
Molecule: long non-coding RNA, 269 nt
Organism: Drosophila montana
Lineage: Eukaryota; Metazoa; Arthropoda; Insecta; Diptera; Drosophilidae
Exons: 2
Source: RefSeq, a predicted model, not a curated record